AACAAGUACCGUUCAAAUAGGGCGGUACCUUGACGGUACCUAACCAGAAAGCCCCGGCUAACUACGUGCCAGCAGCCGCGGUAAUACGUAGGGGGCAAGCGUUGUCCGGAAUUAUUGGGCGUAAAGGGCACGCAGGCGGUCUUCUAAGUCUGAUGUGAAAUCCCACGGCUUAACCGUGGUAGGUCAUUGGAAACUGGAGGACUUGAGUACAGAAGAGGAGAGUGGAAUUCCACGUGGAGCGGUGAAAUGCGUAGAGAUGUGGAGGAACACCAGUGGCGAAGGCGACUCUCUGGUCUGUAACUGACGCUGAGGUGCGAAAGCGUGGGUAGCGAACAGGAUUAGAUACCCUGGUAGUCCACGCCGUAAACGAUGAGUGCUAGGUGUCAAGGGGUUUCCGCCCCUUGGUGCUGCAGUUAACGCAUUAAGCACUCCGCCUGGGGAGUACGGCCGCAAGGCUGAAACUCAAAAGAAUUGACGGGGGCCCGCACAAGCGGUGGAGCAUGUGGUUUAAUUCGAAGCAACGCGAAGAACCUUACCAGGUCUUGACAUCCUCUGACACCUCUAGAGAUAGAGCAUUCCCUUCGGGGACAGAGUGACAGGUGGUGCAUGGUUGUCGUCAGCUCGUGUCGUGAGAUGUUGGGUUAAGUCCCGUAACGAGCGCAACCCUUGAUCUUAGUUGCCAGCAUUUAGUUGGGCACUCUAAGGUGACUGCCGGUGACAAACCGGAGGAAGGUGGGGAUGACGUCAAAUCAUCAUGCCCCUUAUGACCUGGGCUACACACGUGCUACAAUGGAUGGAACAAAGGGCAGCGAAACCGCAAGGUGGAGCGAAUCCCACAAAACCAUUCUCAGUUCGGAUUGUAGGCUGCAAUUCGCCUACAUGAAGCAGGAAUCGCUAGUAAUCGCGGAUCAGCAUGCCGCGGUGAAUACGUUCCCGGGCCUUGUACACACCGCCCGUCACACCACGAGAGUUGACAACACCCGAAGUCGGUGAGGUAACCCUUACGGGAUCCAACCGCCGAAGGUGGGGGCAAUGAUUGGGGUGAAGUCGUAACAAGGUAACC
This 1063-nucleotide ribosomal RNA is filed under the name uncultured bacterium. RNAcentral describes it as "bacterial SSU rRNA". It matches the Rfam family "Bacterial small subunit ribosomal RNA", at positions 448 to 1501 of the family's 1533-position model. The record is from RNAcentral.